RNAcentral lists this ribosomal RNA (347 nucleotides) under uncultured bacterium. RNAcentral describes it as "partial 16S ribosomal RNA". It matches the Rfam family "Bacterial small subunit ribosomal RNA", at positions 338 to 682 of the family's 1533-position model. The record is from RNAcentral.
CCUACGGGUGGCAGCAGGGAGGAAGAGUGGGCAAUGGCCGAAAGGCGGAACCAGCCAAGUCGCGGGAAGGAAGAAGGAGCUAUGGUUGGUAAACUGCGUUUAUAGGGGAAUAAAGGGAGCCACGUGUGGAUAUUUGCAUGUACCCUAUGAAUAAGCAUCGGCUAACUCCGUGCCAGCAGCCGCGGUAAGACGGAGGAUGCGAGCGUUAUCCGGAUUUAUUGGGGUUAAAGGGUGCGUAGGUUGUUUUUUAAGUCAGCGGGGAAAGUUUGUGGCUCAACCAUAAAAUUGCCAUUGAAACUGGAAGACUUGCGUGUGUUUGCGGUAGGCGGACUGCGUUUUGUCGCGGU